AAGACACCUAAUUGUAAGUCGCUUUGGAUAAAAGCAUCAGCUAAAUGACCUGUA
Molecule: regulatory RNA element, 54 nt
Organism: Gasterosteus aculeatus (three-spined stickleback)
Lineage: Eukaryota; Metazoa; Chordata; Actinopteri; Perciformes; Gasterosteidae
Rfam family: UnaL2 LINE 3' element
About the family: The eel long interspersed element (LINE) UnaL2 and its partner short interspersed element (SINE) share a conserved 3' tail containing a stem-loop that is critical for their retrotransposition. Presumably, the first step of retrotransposition is the recognition of their 3' tails by UnaL2-encoded reverse transcriptase.
Source: Rfam